GAUGAACGCUGGCGGCGUGCUUAACACAUGCAAGUCGAACGAUGAAGCCCAGCUUGCUGGGUGGAUUAGUGGCGAACGGGUGAGUAACACGUGAGUAACCUGCCCUUGACUCUGGGAUAAGCCCGGGAAACUGGGUCUAAUACCGGAUAGGAGCGCCUGUCGCAUGACGGGUGCUGGAAAGAUUUUUCGGUCAUGGAUGGACUCGCGGCCUAUCAGCUUGUUGGUGAGGUAAUGGCUCACCAAGGCGACGACGGGUAGCCGGCCUGAGAGGGUGACCGGCCACACUGGGACUGAGACACGGCCCAGACUCCUACGGGAGACAGCAGUGAGGAAUAUUGCACAAUGGGCGGAAGCCUGAUGCAGCGACGCCGCGUGAGGGAUGACGGCCUUCGGGUUGUAAACCUCCUUCAAG
RNAcentral lists this ribosomal RNA (412 nucleotides) under Micrococcus sp. oral taxon F54. RNAcentral describes it as "bacterial SSU rRNA". It matches the Rfam family "Bacterial small subunit ribosomal RNA", at positions 28 to 440 of the family's 1533-position model. Lineage: Bacteria; Bacillati; Actinomycetota; Actinomycetes; Micrococcales; Micrococcaceae. The record is from RNAcentral.